This 440-nucleotide ribosomal RNA is filed under the name Acinetobacter sp. STEP_aq_299. RNAcentral's name for it is "bacterial SSU rRNA". It matches the Rfam family "Bacterial small subunit ribosomal RNA", at positions 76 to 511 of the family's 1533-position model. Lineage: Bacteria; Pseudomonadati; Pseudomonadota; Gammaproteobacteria; Moraxellales; Moraxellaceae. The record is from RNAcentral.
UAGCUUGNUACCUGNCCUAGCGGCGGACGGGUGAGUAAUGCUUAGGAAUCUGCCUAUUAGUGGGGGACAACAUUCCGAAAGGAAUGCUAAUACCGCAUACGCCCUACGGGGGAAAGCAGGGGAUCUUCGGACCUUGCGCUAAUAGAUGAGCCUAAGUCAGAUUAGCUAGUUGGUGGGGUAAAGGCCUACCAAGGCGACGAUCUGUAGCGGGUCUGAGAGGAUGAUCCGCCACNCUGGGACUGANACACGGCCCANACUCCUACGGGAGGCANCAGUGGGGAAUAUUGGACAAUGGGCGNAAGCCUGAUCCAGCCAUGCCGCGUGUGUGAAGAAGGCCUUUUGGUUGUAAAGCACUUUAAGCGAGGAGGAGGCUACUUGGAUUAAUACUCUAGGAUANUGGACGUUACUCGCAGAAUAAGCACCGGCUAACUCUGUGCCUC